Molecule: long non-coding RNA, 465 nt
Organism: Pseudopipra pipra
Lineage: Eukaryota; Metazoa; Chordata; Aves; Passeriformes; Pipridae
Exons: 3
Source: RefSeq, a predicted model, not a curated record
CCCUCCACAGUUUGCUUAUUGUAGACAUCUCUGCUCAUUCUUAGAACUGAUAUUCUCCAUAUUACUCUUUUUUAACUUUCAGGACAAACGUAUCUUAGCAAAGACAUCUCACUGAGAUUUUAAUAUAAUUAAGGAUGCUGAACGUGCCACUGUAACACAGAACAACAGAAGAGCUGAAGCUGAAAAGGAUCUCUGGAUAUCAUCUAGUCCAAUUGCUGUUUAAAACAGGAUCAGCCUGGAAAGGUUGCCCAGCACUCUGUUCAGUCAAGUUUAAUAUCUCCGUGCAUGGAGACUCCACAACUCUGAGCAACCCAUUCUACUGCUUGAACACCCUCAAGAAAAUUAUCUUGCUAUUUGGGAGAUAAGGCAGUAAAUAAAGUCCUGAACUGCUCAUCGUGAAGAGAAAGGCUUCAUCAGUCAAAGGAAAACAUGGAGAUAAAAUAAAAGUGUAAGUGCAGCAGUGCU